RNAcentral lists this ribosomal RNA (107 nucleotides) under Escherichia coli 3-475-03_S1_C1. RNAcentral also lists the same sequence under 1 other name. Lineage: Bacteria; Pseudomonadati; Pseudomonadota; Gammaproteobacteria; Enterobacterales; Enterobacteriaceae. The record is from RNAcentral.
GGCGGCAGUAGCGCGGUGGUCCCACCUGACCCCAUGCCGAACUCAGAAGUGAAACGCCGUAGCGCCGAUGGUAGUGUGGGGUCUCCCCAUGCGAGAGUAGGGAACUG